Molecule: non-coding RNA, 124 nt
Organism: Gossypium raimondii (Peruvian cotton)
Lineage: Eukaryota; Viridiplantae; Streptophyta; Magnoliopsida; Malvales; Malvaceae
Source: Rfam
UAUUAAAAAUUUCAUCUAUUUCUACUGUUAAAAAUUGACAUGGUUGACAAAAUAACAAAAAAAUGACACGUGCCAAUGUAUAGAGACCAAAUUUUAACAGUAGAAAUGGAUGGAAUUUUUCACA